ACACUCUUUAAAGUGGUGGUGAUGUGUUGAUAACAAUAUUCAUAUCACAGCCAGCUUUGAGGAGCGUUG
RNAcentral lists this microRNA precursor (69 nucleotides) under Drosophila guanche. It matches the Rfam family "mir-2 microRNA precursor family". Rfam says of the family: The miRNAs are transcribed as ~70nt precursors (modelled here) and subsequently processed by the Dicer enzyme to give a ~22nt product. In this case the mature sequence comes from the 3' arm of the precursor. The record is from RNAcentral. Lineage: Eukaryota; Metazoa; Arthropoda; Insecta; Diptera; Drosophilidae.